CAGACGGACGCCGGGGAGGCCAAGGAGCACGUAUCCACUACCUCGGGCAUGGCUGUGAGGAGUCCCGAUGCACACGAUCUGCACCCCAGCUCUCAGCAACCAGACUACUCCGCUGAGCGCGAGAGAAAGGGGGAGUGAGGGUUCAUGUAAGCAUUUCAAAAGCUAUUGUGAAAGAGAGUCAACAUCAAGGUUUAUAUUUUAAAACCGUUUUGUGUCUGCUUUCCAUGUCGGCAACCCAGUAUGUACAUUUCCAGGCCCUAGAGAUCAAAAUAAAAAUAAACCACAUUCUCAUCU
Bubalus bubalis (water buffalo) is the source of this 294-nucleotide long non-coding RNA. RefSeq lists it as uncharacterized. The record is from RefSeq and is a predicted model, not a curated record. The transcript is spliced from 2 exons. NCBI's taxonomy places the organism in Eukaryota, Metazoa, Chordata, Mammalia, Artiodactyla, Bovidae.